AUUGAACGCUGGCGGCAGGCUUAACACAUGCAAGUCGAGCGGAGCGAGGGUGCUUGCACCUUAGCUUAGCGGCGGACGGGUGAGUAAUGCUUAGGAAUCUGCCUAUUAGUGGGGGACAACAUUCCGAAAGGAAUGCUAAUACCGCAUACGCCCUGCGGGGGAAAGCAGGGGAUCUUCGGACCUUGCGCUAAUAGAUGAGCCUAAGUCGGAUUAGCUAGUUGGUGGGGUGAAGGCCUACCAAGGCGACGAUCUGUAGCGGGCCUGAGAGGAUGAUCCGCCACACUGGGACUGAGACACGGCCCAGACUCCUACGGGAGGCAGCAGUGGGGAAUAUUGGACAAUGGGCGGAAGCCUGAUCCAGCCAUGCCGCGUGUGUGAAGAAGGCCUUUUGGUUGUAAAGCACUUUAAGCGAGGAGGAGGCUACUUAGAUUAAUACUCUGGGAUAGUGGACGUUACUCGCAGAAUAAGCACCGGCUAACUCUGUGCCAGCCGCCGCAGUAA
This 501-nucleotide ribosomal RNA is filed under the name uncultured bacterium. Its description in RNAcentral is "partial 16S ribosomal RNA". It matches the Rfam family "Bacterial small subunit ribosomal RNA", at positions 30 to 523 of the family's 1533-position model. The record is from RNAcentral.